CGAAGGUAGCAUAAUCAGUAGUCUUUUAAUUGAAGGCUGGUAUGAAUGGUUGGACGAGAUAUUAGCUGUUUCAAAAAAAAUUAAAAUAUAAUUUUAUUUUUUAGUCAAAAAGCUGAAAUUUAUUUAAAAGACGAGAAGACCCUAUAAAUCUUUAUAUAAUUAUUUGUUAUAAUUUUAUAGAUUUUUUUUAUUAUAAUAUUUAAUUGUAUUUUAUUGGGGUGAUAUUAAAAUUUAACAAACUUUUAAUUAAAAAAUUUCAUUAAUUUAUGAAUAAUUGAUCCAUUAAUAAUGAUUAAAAAAUUAAGUUACUUUAGGGAUAACAGCGUAAUUUUUUUGGAGAGUUCAUAUCGAUAAAAAAGAUUGCGACCUCGAUGUUGGAUUAA
RNAcentral lists this ribosomal RNA (383 nucleotides) under Stevenia sp. n. 9 AT-2015. Its description in RNAcentral is "partial 16S ribosomal RNA". Lineage: Eukaryota; Metazoa; Arthropoda; Insecta; Diptera; Rhinophoridae. The record is from RNAcentral.